UACGUAGGGGGCAAGCGUUACCCGGAUUUACUGGGUGUAAAGGGAGCGUAGACGGUAAUGCAAGUCUGGAGUGAAAACCCGGGGCUCAACCCCGGGACUGCUUUGGAAACUGUAUAACUGGAGUGCCGGAGAGGUAAGCGGAAUUCCUAGUGUAGCGGUGAAAUGCGUAGAUAUUAGGAGGAACACCAGUGGCGAAGGCGGCUUACUGGACGGUAACUGACGUUGAGGCUCGAAAGCGUGGGGAGCAAACAGG
Molecule: ribosomal RNA, 253 nt
Filed under: uncultured bacterium
Lineage: Bacteria
Description: partial 16S ribosomal RNA
Rfam family: Bacterial small subunit ribosomal RNA
Source: RNAcentral